AUUGAACGCUGGCGGCAGGCUUAACACAUGCAAGUCGAGCGGGGGAAGGUAGCUUGCUACUGGACCUAGCGGCGGACGGGUGAGUAAUGCUUAGGAAUCUGCCUAUUAGUGGGGGACAACAUCUCGAAAGGGAUGCUAAUACCGCAUACGUCCUACGGGAGAAAGCAGGGGAUCUUCGGACCUUGCGCUAAUAGAUGAGCCUAAGUCGGAUUAGCUAGUUGGUGGGGUAAAGGCCUACCAAGGCGACGAUCUGUAGCGGGUCUGAGAGGAUGAUCCGCCACACUGGGACUGAGACACGGCCCAGACUCCUACGGGAGGCAGCAGUGGGGAAUAUUGGACAAUGGGGGGAACCCUGAUCCAGCCAUGCCGCGUGUGUGAAGAAGGCCUUAUGGUUGUAAAGCACUUUAAGCGAGGAGGAGGCUACUCUAGUUAAUACCUAGAGAUAGUGCACGUUACUCGCAGAAUAAGCACCGGCUAACUCUGUGCCAGCCGCCGCGGUAA
This 501-nucleotide ribosomal RNA is filed under the name uncultured bacterium. RNAcentral's name for it is "partial 16S ribosomal RNA". It matches the Rfam family "Bacterial small subunit ribosomal RNA", at positions 30 to 523 of the family's 1533-position model. The record is from RNAcentral.